CAGUCGCCACGGUAAUACGAAGGGGGCUAGCGUUGCUCGGAAUCACUGGGCGUAAAGGGUGCGUAGGCGGGUCUUUAAGUCAGUGGUGAAAUCCUAGAGCUCAACUCCAGAACCGCCUUUGAUACUGAAGAUCUUGAGUAUGGGAGAGGUGAGUGGAACUGCGAGUGUAGAGGUGAAAUUCGUAGAUAUUCGCAAGAACACCAGUGGCGAAGGCGGCUCACUGGCCCAUAACUGACGCUGAGGCACGAAAGCGUGGGGAGCAAACAGGAUUAGAUACCCGUGUAGUCCCUGUCUCUUAUAA
RNAcentral lists this ribosomal RNA (301 nucleotides) under uncultured bacterium. Its description in RNAcentral is "partial 16S ribosomal RNA". It matches the Rfam family "Bacterial small subunit ribosomal RNA", at positions 509 to 809 of the family's 1533-position model. The record is from RNAcentral.